GUUUGAUCCUGGCUCAGGACGAACGCUGGCGGCGUGCUUAACACAUGCAAGUCGAGCGGUAAGGCCCCUUCGGGGGUACACGAGCGGCGAACGGGUGAGUAACACGUGAGCAAUCUGCCCUUCACUUUGGGAUAACCACCGGAAACGGUGGCUAAUACCGGAUACGACCAGUCUCUGCAUGGGGUGCUGGUGGAAAGUUCUGGCGGUGGAGGAUGAGCUCGCGGCCUAUCAGCUUGUUGGUGGGGUAAUGGCCUACCAAGGCGACGACGGGUAGCCGGCCUGAGAGGGUGACCGGCCACACUGGGACUGAGACACGGCCCAGACUCCUACGGGAGGCAGCAGUGGGGAAUAUUGGACAAUGGGCGAAAGCCUGAUCCAGCAACGCCGCGUGAGGGAUGACGGCCUUCGGGUUGUAAACCUCUUUCAGCAGGGACGAAGCGCAAGUGACGGUACCUGCAGAAGAAGCACCGGCCAACUACGUGCCAGCAGCCGCGGUAAUACGUAGGGUGCGAGCGUUGUCCGGAAUUAUUGGGCGUAAAGGGCUCGUAGGCGGUUUGUCACGUCGGGAGUGAAAACUCGGGGCUUAACCCCGAGCCUGCUUCCGAUACGGGCUGACUAGAGGUAUGCAGGGGAGAACGGAAUUCCUGGUGUAGCGGUGAAAUGCGCAGAUAUCAGGAGGAACACCGGUGGCGAAGGCGGUUCUCUGGGCAUUACCUGACGCUGAGGAGCGAAAGUGUGGGGAGCGAACAGGAUUAGAUACCCUGGUAGUCCACACCGUAAACGUUGGGCGCUAGGUGUGGGACUCAUUCCACGAGUUCCGUGCCGCAGCUAACGCAUUAAGCGCCCCGCCUGGGGAGUACGGCCGCAAGGCUAAAACUCAAAGGAAUUGACGG
Molecule: ribosomal RNA, 893 nt
Filed under: uncultured bacterium
Lineage: Bacteria
Description: bacterial SSU rRNA
Rfam family: Bacterial small subunit ribosomal RNA
Source: RNAcentral